Molecule: ribosomal RNA, 478 nt
Filed under: uncultured bacterium
Lineage: Bacteria
Description: partial 16S ribosomal RNA
Rfam family: Bacterial small subunit ribosomal RNA
Source: RNAcentral
GACGAACGCUGGCGGCGUGCUUAACACAUGCAAGUCGAACGGGAUCUAGUAAACGGAAGCCUCGGUGGAAGAUUACUAAUGAGAGUGGCGAACGGGUGAGUAACGCGUGAGCAACCUGCCUAUGACAGUGGGAUAGCCUCGGGAAACCGGGAUUAAUACCGCAUAAAAUCGUAGAAACACAUGUUUCAACGGUCAAAGAUUUAUCGGUCAUAGAUGGGCUCGCGUCUGAUUAGCUAGUUGGUGAGAUAACAGCCCACCAAGGCGACGAUCAGUAGCCGGUAUGAGAGGAAGGACGGACACACUGGAGCGGAGACACAGUCCAAACUCCUACGGGAUGCAGGAGAGGGGAAUAUUGCACAAUGGGGUAAAUCAUGAAGCAGCGACGCCGGGUGAACGAAGAAGGUAGUCGUAAAGUAAAGUUCUGUCCUAUGGGAAGAUAAUGACGGUACCAAAGAAGAAAGCUCCGGCUAAAUACGUG